Molecule: ribosomal RNA, 406 nt
Filed under: uncultured bacterium
Lineage: Bacteria
Description: partial 16S ribosomal RNA
Rfam family: Bacterial small subunit ribosomal RNA
Source: RNAcentral
AUUGAACGCUGGCGGCAGGCCUAACACAUGCAAGUCGAACGAGUGGCGGACGGGUGAGUAAUGUCUGGGAAACUGCCUGAUGGAGGGGGAUAACUACUGGAAACGGUAGCUAAUACCGCAUACCAUCAGAUGUGCCCAGAUGGGAUUAGCUGGUUGGUGGGGUAACGGCUCACCAGGGCGACGAUCCCUAGCUGGUCUGAGAGGCUGACCAGCCACACGGGAACGGGUACACGGUCCAGACUCCUACGGGGGGAAGCAGUGGGGAAUAUUGCACAAGGGGCGCAAGCCUGCUGCAGAAAUGCCGCGUGUAUGAAGAAGGCCUUCGGGUUGUAAAGUACUUUAAGCGGGGAGGCGUUACCCGCAGAAGAAGCACCGGCUAACUCCGUGCCAGCCGCCGCGGUAAUUC